Molecule: ribosomal RNA, 253 nt
Filed under: uncultured bacterium
Lineage: Bacteria
Description: partial 16S ribosomal RNA
Rfam family: Bacterial small subunit ribosomal RNA
Source: RNAcentral
UACGGAGGGGGCUAGCGUUAUUCGGAAUUAUUGGGCGUAAAGGGCGUGUAGGCGGCUUCGCAAGUCUUGUGUGAAAGCCCUCGGCUCAACCGAGGAAUUGCACGAGAAACUCCGUGGCUCGAGUCCGGAAGAGGCGAGUGGAAUUCCUGGUGUAGCGGUGAAAUGCGCAGAUAUCAGGAGGAACACCGAUGGCGAAGGCAGCUCGCUGGGACGGUACUGACGCUGAGGCGCGAAAGCGUGGGGAGCAAACAGG